UACGUAGGGUGCAAGCGUUGUCCGGAAUUAUUGGGCGUAAAGAGCUCGUAGGCGGUCUGUCGCGUCGGCUGUGAAAACCCGAGGCUCAACCUCGGGCCUGCAGUCGAUACGGGCAAACUAGAGUACUGCAGGGGAGACUGGGAUUCCUGGUGUAGCGGUGAAAUGCGCAGAUAUCAGGAGGAACACCGGUGGCGAAGGCGGGUCUCUGGGCAGUAACUGACGCUGAGGAGCGAAAGCGUGGGGAGCGAACAGG
Molecule: ribosomal RNA, 253 nt
Filed under: uncultured bacterium
Lineage: Bacteria
Description: partial 16S ribosomal RNA
Rfam family: Bacterial small subunit ribosomal RNA
Source: RNAcentral